RNAcentral lists this ribosomal RNA (520 nucleotides) under uncultured fungus. RNAcentral's name for it is "SSU rRNA". It matches the Rfam family "Eukaryotic small subunit ribosomal RNA", at positions 21 to 543 of the family's 1831-position model. The record is from RNAcentral. Lineage: Eukaryota; Fungi.
UAGUCAUAUGCUUGUCUCAAAGAUUAAGCCAUGCAUGUCUAAGUAUAAGCAACUUGUACUGUGAAACUGCGAAUGGCUCAUUAAAUCAGUUAUCGUUUAUUUGAUAGUACCUUACUACAUGGAUACCUGUGGUAAUUCUAGAGCUAAUACAUGCUAAAAACCCCGACUUCAGGAAGGGGUGUAUUUAUUAGAUAAAAAACCAACGCCCUUCGGGGCUCCUUGGUGAAUCAUAAUAACUUAACGAAUCGCAUGGCCUUGCGCCGGCGAUGGUUCAUUCAAAUUUCUGCCCUAUCAACUUUCGAUGGUAGGAUAGUGGCCUACCAUGGUGGCAACGGGUGACGGGGAAUUAGGGUUCGAUUCCGGAGAGGGAGCCUGAGAAACGGCUACCACAUCCAAGGAAGGCAGCAGGCGCGCAAAUUACCCAAUCCCGAUACGGGGAGGUAGUGACAAUAAAUACUGAUACGGGGCUCUUUUGGGUCUCGUAAUUGGAAUGAGAACAAUUUAAAUCCCUUAACGAGGA